CCCUUGUAUUAAUUUUUAAUAAGGUUUAAUAAAAAUUUUUGAAAAUUAAAAAUUUUGGCAGUUAAUAAUAAAUUAGAGGAGCUUGUUAGGGUGAGAAUUUACUCUUUAUAUUUUAAUAUAAAAUUUGUUUAUUCAUUUCUGUUAUUAAAAUAGUAUUUUUACAAGAUUAUUAUAUCUGACAUUUCAGGUCAAGAUGUAGUAUUUUAUAUUUAUAAUUAGCUACAAUUAUUUAAUAUUGGUUAAUGGAUUAGUAUAAAAUCUUUAUAAAUUGAAUUUAGUUGUAAUUAUAUUUAGGAUAAUACUAUGAUUUAAAAUUAUUAAUGU
Molecule: ribosomal RNA, 324 nt
Filed under: Promitobates ale
Lineage: Eukaryota; Metazoa; Arthropoda; Arachnida; Opiliones; Gonyleptidae
Description: partial 12S ribosomal RNA
Source: RNAcentral